This 548-nucleotide long non-coding RNA is filed under the name Triticum aestivum (bread wheat). RNAcentral describes it as "long non-coding RNA (TAES_LNC027235)". The record is from RNAcentral. Lineage: Eukaryota; Viridiplantae; Streptophyta; Magnoliopsida; Poales; Poaceae.
UAAAGAGCAGCUUCAUCCACUUUGAUGACCCUAGCUUUUGCGAGUGGAUGCGCAGCCUCAAAUUGGUCCCGCCGGAACAAAGCUAAUGCAAAUAAUUGGAUGAGUGCAAUCAGAAACGAUUGUGGAUAGCCGAGGUUUGGUUUCAAACAGAGUUGCCAAACGACAUCUGAAAACUUUGCGAGGUAACGCCUAAGGCCCAAACAUUUGUUUGGGUUGAUGAAGCGGCAAUUUGUGUGAAGUGAAGCUGUAUAAUUUUGCCUGAUUAUUUUCUCUGAUGUGGUCGCGUAAAUGCAUUAUCUCUUGCCACACAGGUGCGUAAAAUUUUAGACAAUUAGAGCAUCGCUUAUGUUCUCCUGCCUUUGAAGAGUUUGUUGUAUGUCACAUAAUAGAAGUCUGUCCUGGCCAUUCAUUUGAUUCCUUUUACUCGAGGCGAAUCCCAAUUCUCCAUUUGCACAACUUUUUUGUUUUGUUUUGAGAAAGUCCAUUUAUACAAUCAGAGAUACUACAUUUCAACAGUGUUGCUUAGUGUUUACAGCAUUACAUUUGUU